This 627-nucleotide ribosomal RNA is filed under the name Mycobacterium sp. Se3Ps_2726. RNAcentral's name for it is "bacterial SSU rRNA". It matches the Rfam family "Bacterial small subunit ribosomal RNA", at positions 391 to 1030 of the family's 1533-position model. The record is from RNAcentral. Lineage: Bacteria; Bacillati; Actinomycetota; Actinomycetes; Mycobacteriales; Mycobacteriaceae.
GCGACGCCGCGUGAGGGAUGACGGCCUUCGGGUUGUAAACCUCUUUCAGCAGGGACGAAGCGCAAGUGACGGUACCUGUAGAAGAAGGACCGGCCAACUACGUGCCAGCAGCCGCGGUAAUACGUAGGGUCCGAGCGUUGUCCGGAAUUACUGGGCGUAAAGAGCUCGUAGGUGGUUUGUCGCGUUGUUCGUGAAAACUCACAGCUUAACUGUGGGCGUGCGGGCGAUACGGGCAGACUUGAGUACUGCAGGGGAGACUGGAAUUCCUGGUGUAGCGGUGGAAUGCGCAGAUAUCAGGAGGAACACCGGUGGCGAAGGCGGGUCUCUGGGCAGUAACUGACGCUGAGGAGCGAAAGCGUGGGGAGCGAACAGGAUUAGAUACCCUGGUAGUCCACGCCGUAAACGGUGGGUACUAGGUGUGGGUUUCCUUCCUUGGGAUCCGUGCCGUAGCUAACGCAUUAAGUACCCCGCCUGGGGAGUACGGCCGCAAGGCUAAAACUCAAAGAAAUUGACGGGGGCCCGCACAAGCGGCGGAGCAUGUGGAUUAAUUCGAUGCAACGCGAAGAACCUUACCUGGGUUUGACAUGCACAGGACGUGCCUAGAGAUAGGUAUUCCCUUGUGGCCUG